Molecule: long non-coding RNA, 1379 nt
Organism: Mustela lutreola (European mink)
Lineage: Eukaryota; Metazoa; Chordata; Mammalia; Carnivora; Mustelidae
Exons: 4
Source: RefSeq, a predicted model, not a curated record
GCGGGGCGCGCGGUAACAGUGUCUUAGUAGGCAGGCUGGCUGGUGUGUCGGGCUUCAGGGGGCAUGGCGGGGAACCGGCGCAGAGGUGAGCGGUCGGCGUAUCUGCCGCGGGGUCGGCGUCUCCGCGGAGCUGGGUCUCGUUCCGAGCUCGCGCCAGCUUUCUCGACCUCGUCUAAAAAACCCCAGCAGGGUGGUUCGCGGAGCUGCGGUGGGGAUGUGUGUGGGAGGGAGAGACACGCCCGGAGUAAGGCUGAAGGAAAGAUCAUGCAGUAGCUGAGUUCCACAUCCGUGGUGGCCCGUGUCGCUUAAGGGGUGUGACGCGAGGGCCUGUGCGGAAGCGGGCGGUUCGAAUCGGGGACUCCCGCGUGAGGCAGCGGCACCUGUUGCAGGAAUCUGAAGACGCAAACGCCCGGCGGGUCAUUCUGAAGCUUCCUAAAUCCGCCGGGAACGUCGUCUGGUGUCGGAGGAGGAACAGCCGUCUGGGUCGUCGCCCUUGGUUCAGUUUAAAUCGAAGCAUAGUGAGAGGAGGCGGGCGGAGAGUCCCCGAGCUCGUUAGUGACCGAGCCACGACCAGGAGCGAGAUUUCUUCAUCUGCAGGCCAUCAUUUUGUCCUCCGCGUCUGAACUGUUUUUUUGGAUGGCUAAGCCGUCUGUUUAAGGGAGCGAAGACGGGGAUUGACCUUUCCGUGCAGAAUGAAUCCAAGAAAGGCAAAGUCGAUGCUGUGUAGCUGGAGAGGAGUCCGUCGGGUGCCUUCUGUCGUUUCCUAGAGGCCUGAGUUUCAGGGAUGCGUGCCCACCCCCCCCAGACUUCCAGCUAACUACUUACAGUCCCAGCUCUCGCUGUGAGAACAUGCUGUCACAGCCCGUGGAAAUGCUUACCUCGGAAGCCGUCUGAAUCGGACCAGCCACUGUGAGCCUGUAAAUGAGCUCUGCAGACCUCAUCGCGGCCGUGUUCUGAUGGUUUGGAGGGGAGGAGCUACAGUUCCUGCCUCUGGUUUGCGUGCAGCCGAGUGGAGCCGACCCAGGUUGCCGGUUGCAAUAUGCCACUCAAAAAGAGAUUUAUCAGCGGGGUUGCAGGUGAACAUGGCCUGGAGGUAAAUCCUGCCCCUUGUUAAAAUUUAGUUUCAGCAGAUUAUUCGUGAUAUUUUAGGAACUGGAAUAUUUUACAGAAAAAAAAGUUUUGUUUGGUUCUUUUCUACACUUAAUUUUUUCUUCUUGCAGAAGAAACAUGUUUAAACCAAAGUUUUUUACGCUGAGUAAUUAUGAUGCUUUAAGUUGUUCAUAUGCCUUGUGUAAAUUAAGUGAAUUUUAAAUGUCAAUGCUCAGUGCCAAUUUUAGUUGUUUUUUCCUUGAUCAAAUAAAAAUUUCACUCAGACCUUA